CCUUUUGACUAUUUUGCAAUUUAGUCCUUUUUACACAAAAUGACAAAUUUAUGCAAUUUACCCUUAACCCAUGUAUAGCCGAAUUUCACAUAACUAUAUAGCAGCCCAUAUUUUCAUUUUAUUCACAUUUUUAACCAAAACAUUUCUAUCUUUCACAAUUUGAUCCCUAAUUCUCAUUUUUGUCAAAAGUCACUUUAUAAAACUUGUAUAUCUAUUGACAACCAUCAAUAAUCUAACAAGAAACUUCAAAAUAUCCAAGUAUUCAACAAUGGCAUAUCUCAAAAUCUAUAACAAACUAAAAAAUUAAAGCACGGGCUAGCUAG
Molecule: long non-coding RNA, 323 nt
Filed under: Gossypium barbadense (sea-island cotton)
Lineage: Eukaryota; Viridiplantae; Streptophyta; Magnoliopsida; Malvales; Malvaceae
Description: long non-coding RNA (GBAR_LNC009303)
Source: RNAcentral